This 253-nucleotide ribosomal RNA is filed under the name uncultured bacterium. RNAcentral describes it as "partial 16S ribosomal RNA". It matches the Rfam family "Bacterial small subunit ribosomal RNA", at positions 524 to 776 of the family's 1533-position model. The record is from RNAcentral.
UACAGAGACUGCAAGCGUUAUUCGGAUUCACUGGGCGUAACGGGUGCGCAGGUGGCCGAGUGUGUUAGGCGUGAAAGCCCGGGGCUUAACCGGGGAACUGCGUCUGAUACUGGGUGGCUUGAAUUCGGGAGAGGGAUGCGGAAUUCCAGGUGUAGCGGUGAAAUGCGUAGAUAUCUGGAGGAACACCGGUGGCGAAGGCGGCAUCCUGGACCGAGAUUGACGCUGAGGCGCGAAAGCCAGGGGAGCAAACGGG